CCUGCAAUCCUCUAAGAGUAUCAAAACGUAAUACAUGUAUGAAAGAUGUACUUAGUAUGUAAAACAGAUAAUGUAAGUAAAUCGAAGACAUAUCAUAGGAGAUAAGAAUACACAAGUUUAAUCAGGAUACCGUAGACAAGCCACCGAGGGCGUACACUGCUAUAACCAUAAAUCAUGAAUGUAUGAAAACUUUUGUAAAAAUUCAGCCACUCUUUGGGGCAUAUCAUCUUAUUUCACUCCAACCCGGCCUCAUAAAAGACUCGUCGUACCCGACCUCAGGAGGUUUUGGUUGUACCUGAUCUCAACAGAACUCGGCGUAGCAGGCCUCAAGAGGACUCAGUAGCCUCACAUUACACUUCAUCGUACCCGGCUACAUAAGUGCUCGGUAAUGUCUCAUAUCAUGUCUCAUCAUACCCAGCCGAUCAGUAGUUGUACAAUAUGUGUUGUACCCGGCUGACUAAAGUGCGGCUUGGUAAAGUAAAAUAGAUACAUAUUUGUAUAAGUGCAAUGCAGAGGCAAUUUCAAGGAAAUAUCAAGAUUAAAUUCAGAAGAAAAUCAUAUUUUCCGAACUCAAGUUACUAUCUGAAAACACCUCAAACUGGAAAGGAGGCCACCGGUAAGAACAAUGUACAAGAACAGAAACAACACUAUAGUGGAGCCCUUGAAUCAAGACAAUAUCACAACAGAGAAAUCCUUGAAGAAAAGAGGGGCGCUUGUCACACCCUUUUUUACCCCUCCAAAGGAUAAUGAACGUUAUUGAUUGUGGGUUAAAGAGUUUUUCCAAUUAAAGUGACAAACUUGAGUAGGGAUUAUUUUAUUUAUAGAGUCGCCACUUGGAAUAUAUUUGCAGGUGUUCCAAGUCACCUUUUAUUUGAAUCCCUAGUCAAAGGAAGAUUUGACUCUAUUUUUUAUCGGUCUGCGAAAUAAAGUUCGGGUAAUAAAUUCUGUUGACCGGGGAGAAGGUGUAAGGCAUUCCCCGAGUCCCGUGGUUAUAGUACGGUCACUUUAUUGGCUAUAUUUGGCUUAAAUUGAUUUUGGAUAAAACUGCAAUGUAUUUGAUUUUUAUGCUUUUCAUAUGUCCGCUUUUAUUUAUUAAAAAAAUAAAGAAAAGAUUUCAAUAAUAUUGAAUUGUCCUAACCGCAGCACGCUAGCGAAUGCAUGAUCGAAACAAAAUUUACUAAUUUUGUAAUAACCAUCCUACACGAGCGAAUCCACAAUUGUGACAAAAGAUUAUUAGCACGUCAUUACUCUUGGAAAAAUAUCUACAUUUUAUAUUGUUUUAUUAUGGACAAUACGCCAGCCAAAAUAAAUUCAUUUGGCCAAAGCCUAUUUCUCGUAACCCUGUUUAAGAACUAACAUGAGAGAUAGGCUAAAAUAUAAGCAAAUAAUUAACUAAAGGUAUAAUAUUAAAUACUAAUAGAAUAAACUAGGAUAAAAAAUUAUUUAAAAUUCCUAAGGCCCACUAAUGUUACAAUUAGCCUAAACCCACAAUCUUUUACUUUUUGUCAAAAAAACACAUGGCUCAUUAUUCAGUCAGCUAUUUCCUUCCCCAAUAUUCUUAACAGAAUUAAUUCUACUCAUGACAUUAACAGAAGAAAAGUAAAACACAUGGACAAACAUUCAUGAAUGAUAAAUAAAUUAAUAGAACGACCAAGGAACUUCAAUAAAAGUGGUAAGUGUGAACCUUUACAUUCGGCGAAUAAGCCUCUUCAAUAGAACCAAACAUGAAGCUCCAACAUCAUCAAAGAUAUACGAAAACCCAAAGCUACAACCCGAAUAAAGAACCUGAACAAGACCUGUGACAGGAGACUGCAUCGGAACCUCGAAACUCAGCAGUAGAGAAACACAACAAAAAGAUGAGUGAUUUGCGAUGUUGAUUGGGGACUAUUUUGCUGAAGCUUUUGGGGGUUGAUUUAUGGUGGUUUUUGGAGGAGGCUUCAAGGCGUUUAAAGGUAUUUGAGAUGGUGGGAGAAGAUGGCUGGUUUUUAUGCGUUUUGCAGCUGAUUUUUGGCUGGAUUUAAGGGGGGCGUUUUGAGGUGGAAAAGAUCUAAUAUCUGUGAAGAAGAAAUCCUCCUUGUUCCAUCGUGUUAAGCUCUCUCCUCUUAUGAAGUUUUUAGAGGUGCUUUUUAUGGUAGAAAAAUGGAUGUUUUUCAAUGGUCAAAACAAAAAGAGAAGAUGGGAUCCCCCUUUUUUAGUCCUAUUUGUGAGGGCCCGUUCUUUUAUUUUUU
This 2228-nucleotide long non-coding RNA is filed under the name Nicotiana tabacum (common tobacco). Its description in RNAcentral is "long non-coding RNA (NTAB_LNC008345)". The record is from RNAcentral. Lineage: Eukaryota; Viridiplantae; Streptophyta; Magnoliopsida; Solanales; Solanaceae.